CUAAACUUUAAUAUCUGAAUUUGUCACAACUAAAUGCGGGGCAUUUCAAGUUGAUAAAAUCCAUCAAACAUGAUGUCCUCCUCAAGCAAUAGUUAGUGCAAAAUCAUAAAAUUCAAAUGAGGGCAAAUCUUAAAUACAAAUGAGAUGUCACAAAAACACACUCAACCUUGCUGAGUUUCGUACCUGUGCGCCAACUGAAGUUGGGCCAGAAGAAGCAAACAAAGGGAUUUCUCCCAUAGAAAUCAGAUAGUACUCAGAAUGAAAACAUAGAAUAAGGAAUUAAGAAGCACAAUAAUAGUAAUAUAUGAGCUUGUUGCACUGAAAAGCAUUGCUUCCUUUGGGACUGCAGAGGCUGCUUCCAUCUUCAAUUGCCUGAAUCAAUUAUGGUUGACAAAUUAAAGCCUUAUAAGGUUGGUUAGCAGUAAAAACAGGUUAUGAGAAACUAAAGUGAAUGUGUAACAAUGAUGAUUCGGAAGUCCUAUAGAAUUUUAACAAUGAUGCACAAGAAAUUGGUUUUGACCUGCACACUUCACUAGAAAUAUAUAUGGAUAAAAUUUUAUUUUUAUUUAGCAUAGCCAUUAGUCAAACCAACAGGAUGGAUUAAAUUGAACUCAGAGAAUGUGCAUCUUACUCGCAGCCAAGAAAAUGUCGAGAACAAGUAGCACACGGUUUAAAACAAGAUGGAUAAUGAGUCAGUCCUAUCUUUCUUCACUUAAAUAUAUCAGAUUAAGUUUGCCUAGCGUAUUGGUCGUACCUCUCUGACCUAAGUAACAAAUCAUUUAAUCUUUACUUGAACUAAGAACAUGAUAGACAUCCCAAAUAGUGCAAUAAUUAGCAACUCAUGUGACAUGAUCAUGGAUAUCAAUUUAGUAGGAAAUGCUAGCUAGUAUGUGUUGACAAAUUAGUACUCCCUCCGUCCAUUGUACAUGCUAUUCUUUCUUUUUUAGUCCUGUUCUAAAAAGAAUGUUAUCUUACUAUGAUUAAAAAUCAUUUAUUUUUAAAUUUUUCUUUUAGCCUAAUGAAAUGAUUUGCACAACAACCACAUAAAUAUCUAAGAAUUGUUUUGGACAACAAAUAUCUAAGGAUUAUUCAUAAAAAUAUCAAGCAACAUAGCUUAAAUCACCUGCAGUUUAGAGUUGGUGUGUUUGAAUUCGAAAUGAGAAAUAGAGACGAAGUAAUUACUAACCAAUCAAAUGUUGAGUUGGCCCCACAAAACGAAUGGAAACAAGAUUUAUUUGUUCGAUGCCUUCCUUAACCUUAUUUAUCAUAUACUGUAACGGGUUCCUAAUUUACCGAUUUCCCCCAGAAAAAAGAAAAGUAAUAUCGGGUCCUAUCUCAACAGUAAUAAUUAUAUUUUUAUAACAGGCUAUGUUCAGAUGACCUUAGGCACAUAAUUCAUUAAAUACCAACUACUUUUCAUCAAUACAAACACUUGUAGCAAAAAGUUUAAGCAAAUAAGAAACAAGUUAUAUCACAAGGACCUGACCAAAUAUUAAAACACUUCAAUAGCUGGACUCGAGCCAUAGACACUAGAUGCUCAUACUUAAUGAUAUCCAAGGAAAGAGCAAAGGCAAACAACUAUCUGCUUUCAAAUUUAUCCAUUAUUUCAAACUUGAAAUAUGGACUUAAAGUUUUAAAAUCAAAUUCUAAAAGUAUCAAAAUGUUUAUUUAAAAAAUCAAUAAUGUUGCAUUCUUUAACAUUAAGGAAUGUUUUUCAAAUAUCAACCAAUUCAUGUCCGUGCACAUAUUAUUCUUGCAUGUCACUAUAUUAGUAUUACAGUAUUUCUCUAAUUAGCUUAGAUCAUUGUUUAUGAACAACCAGCUAUAUCUACUCUCCGAAGUCCUACCUAUCCAUUAAGCUCCCUUAAUUAUAUAAACAAAAGACACAAAUAUUGAGAUAUUCCAUUCCCUCAUUAAUAAAUAUUUUAUCAUUUAAAAUUAUGUCAAGCAUACAUUAUAAAUGAUUUAUUGGAAUUACACCUUGCCUACUUUUUUUUUCUCUCUAAUAAUUAAGCUAUCUCACCCAAUAAGCAUUCAAUAUUCUACUCUGUAAUGUCCAAAAUCCAGACUUUGAUGCCGUCUGACAAUAAUUAUUUCAUAUGUUUGCUGUGAUGUUGUAAUACUUUAUUUCAUUUCAUAUCACAUUUAUUGUACUUUAGACUGUUCCAACUAAGAAUAGUAGAGUAUCUUUUUAUGGCUAAAAACUCCUUUUAACUUCAAUAUUACCUCUAAUAAAGACAUGCUUUUAUAUACUUGUAUAAAUAUCACUUUUGUCCCAAAAAGAAACUUAUAUAAAUAUCAUAUCACAUCUAAAUCUAGUGUUAAUACCUCAGAUCGUCACUCAACUAUGCACUCUUCUCUCAAAAAGUCAUUCAACUUUUAAUCAAAAGCACUCAUCUAUGCACUUUUUUCUCAGAAAGUCACUUAACUUUAAAUUUUAAUUCAAAAGUCACUCAACUAUCCAUUCUUUCCUCUGAAAGUCGCUCAACUAUCCAUUCUUGCCUCAGAAAGUCACUCAAUCUAUUAAAUUAUUUUUAAUUAAAAUUUGUUGAUAUUAAUUAUUUAUAGAACAAACCAAAAAUUUUAAAAUAAAAUUAAACCAUUUAGUGAUCCACUUACCUAACCCGACCCAUUUAAAAAAUAUGAUAUGAGCUAUUUUAUUUUGUCUUUAAUCCUAAUUCAAGGUUUAAAGAGGGAAUAAUUUAGGAUUAAAGAGAAAAUAAAACGGGUCAUAUCAUAUUUUUUAAAUGGGUCGGGUUAGGUGGGUGGAUCACUAAAUGGUUUAAUUUAUUUUUUAAAAUUUUUGGUUUGUUAUAUGAAUAAUUAAUAUCAACAAAUUUUAAUUAAAAAAUAACUUAAUAGAUUGAGUGACUUUCUGAGGAAAGAGUGGAUAGUUGAGUGACUUUUGAGUUAAAAUUUAAAGUUGAGUGACUUUUUGAGAAAGAAAUGCAUAGUUGAGUGACUUUUGAGUGAAAAUUAAAAAUUGAGUGACUUUCUGAGAAAAAAGUGCAUAGUUGAAUGACCAUCUGAGGUAUUAACUCUCUAAAUGUAGGUUGCUUUUAACUCUUCAAAAAUAUCGAUAAUUGCAUAUCAAAUUCUUCAAAAAUAGUGAAUUUUAAAAAAAUCUGACAUGGUACAACAAAAUUUUAUCAAAGUCCGAAUAACUUAGCUUUAAGUCUAUUGGUAUGUAAUAUUUAUUUUCUUUCCUUUUUUCAGAAAGAAUCAUAAUCUUUGUUUUGCAUCUAUAUCAAAUGCAAUCAAAUACUCGUAUAAUACACAAAGACAGUUCUUGCAGUCUUCUAGAGUUAAUACAAAAAACAAUCCUUAUUGUCUUACCAGCCAGAUAUUAUAAUUUUCUCUGCAUAAGAGCUGCCAUAAAUUUAUCUAACUACAUGCUCUUUCGGUCAAUUUCUAGUUGUUUGCUAUACUGUACUAUAUAAAUCCUUAUUGAUUCAAAAUAUAUUUAUAUCCACUAUUAUCGAUUUAACUAAGAAAAUUAACGGAUAGUUUAUCAAAUAACUUUCACUCUAUCCUUGGUAUUUAUUAACUGUAUUUCUAAAAUAUUGAAUUUAUUAUAUUCAAAUAAUGAUACAGAAAAAUUGUCAGUUUAUUUGUUAUUCCUAAAGGAGUGUGCUAUUUCGAUAUUAGAAAAAAAAAAGGUAGUAUAUAAGGCCUACACGUUCAAGGCUAUGAAUUUGUAAUUAACAAAAUGAGUUAGAAAACUACUGAGUUUGUUUGGAUUGACUUAAAAAAAGUCUCUUUUAAGUAAAAAAUAAGAAAGUCAAACUUAAUUAACUUACAAUGAAAAGUAGGGAGAGAUAUACUAUUAAUUUUCAACUUAUUCAAAGUCAUUUUUUUGAUUUAUUUUAAAUUAUUUCUAUAGUUGUCAAACAUUUGAAAAAAGUAAAAAUAUACUUAAAAAUAGGUUCAAACAAAUUCUAAGUCAAUCCAAACACUCUUUAUAUGUUUACAAGUUUGAAUUUACAAGUUAUGUGUAGCUAGCUGACACCCUACAUUUUGCUUUUCAAUUAAAACAAUGUGAGAUUUGACCAAAAAUUUUAAAAAUGUAUUUUUCACCAUAAAAUAGGAAAAGGAAGGAUUUUCUAUUUUGGCAAAACUUUAAUUUUAAUUUUUCACGUGACAUGUUUAAGACAACAAGAUUAAAGGACAUUUUGAUACAUUUGACACAACUUUAAUUUAGAAUCACAAGAUUAAAAAAUCUUUUUUUUUUCUUAAACUUAGUUCCAAGUUAAACUAAUUUUUUUUUAAACUGCCGGAGUAGUAAAUUUUUUGAAAAUAUUGAGUUAGAUUUAAUGAAUCAAUAUAAGUUAAGGUAGAUUUAAUAUGACUUAGCUAAAAAAAAGGAGAAGACCCAACCCUAGUUAGGAAGAGAAAGAGC
This 4399-nucleotide long non-coding RNA is filed under the name Solanum lycopersicum (tomato). RNAcentral describes it as "long non-coding RNA (SLYC_LNC000510)". The record is from RNAcentral. Lineage: Eukaryota; Viridiplantae; Streptophyta; Magnoliopsida; Solanales; Solanaceae.